UACGAAGGGGGCGAGCGUUGUUCGGAAUUACUGGGCGUAAAGGGCGCGCAGGCGGCUCGACAAGUCAGAUGUGAAAGCCCCGGGCUCAACCUGGGAACGGCAUUUGGGACUGUCGGGCUAGAGUUCGGGAGAGGUGGGUGGAAUUCCCAGUGUAGAGGUGAAAUUCGUAGAUAUUCGGAAGAACACCAGUGGCGAAGGCGGCUCACUGGACCGGCAUUGACGCUGAGGUGCGAAAGCGUGGGGAGCAAACAGG
Molecule: ribosomal RNA, 253 nt
Filed under: uncultured bacterium
Lineage: Bacteria
Description: partial 16S ribosomal RNA
Rfam family: Bacterial small subunit ribosomal RNA
Source: RNAcentral